AUCCUGGCUCAGGAUGAACGCUAGCGGCAGGCUUAACACAUGCAAGUCGAGGGGUAGAGGUUGCUUGCAACCUUGAGACCGGCGCACGGGUGCGUAACGCGUAUGCAACCUACCUUUACAGAGGGAUAGCCCAGAGAAAUUUGGAUUAAUACCUCAUGGUAUAUAUCAUUCGCAUGUUUGGUAUAUUAAAGUUCCAACGGUAAAAGAUGGGGCAUGCGUCCUAUUAGCUAGAUGGUAAGGUAACGGCUUACCAUGGCAACGAUAGGUAGGGGUCCUGAGAGGGAGAUCCCCCACACUGGUACUGAGACACGGACCAGACUCCUACGGGAGGCAGCAGUGAGGAAUAUUGGACAAUGGGCGCAAGCCUGAUCCAGCCAUGCCGCGUGCAGGAAGAAGCAUCUAUGGUGUGUAAACUGCUUUUGUACGGGAAGAAACACUCCUUCGUGAAGGAGCUUGACGGUACCGUAAGAAUAAGGAUCGGCUAACUCCGUG
Molecule: ribosomal RNA, 492 nt
Filed under: uncultured bacterium
Lineage: Bacteria
Description: bacterial SSU rRNA
Rfam family: Bacterial small subunit ribosomal RNA
Source: RNAcentral